This is a long non-coding RNA of Dreissena polymorpha, 2163 nucleotides long. RefSeq lists it as uncharacterized. The transcript has 5 exons. Lineage: Eukaryota; Metazoa; Mollusca; Bivalvia; Myida; Dreissenidae. The record is from RefSeq and is a predicted model, not a curated record.
GGUCGUAGUUUUCAAGAUGGCGUCUGUAAAUCUCCACGCGAGAAAUCUCGCAACGAAGACAAAAUUAUCAUAAAUGUUAUUUAAUUGUUUUGACGAUGCAAAAGCUUACAUAAAAAGAAAUGAAAUUGAUACGAAUAACCGUUACAUAAUUGGUUACAGCACAACAAACGUUGGUAAUUCAGUUGUUACUUCAUCCUCCCAUAAGGUUUUUUGGGUCCAUGGGUGAACCCUUACAUGUAUGUGAGCCUUGGACAUCAGGUUCUGAAAUGCCAUCAUGGUACAGACAAGAAUAAGAAGAAAAAACUGGAAAAGGAGAAGACAAAGACAGUUAGCAGUGAGCAACAUUCAUAUGCUAAAUAGAAAACAAGGCAUGCAGUGCAGCUCUCCAAAAAAUUGGACUGUCCUGCUUCUAUCAUUCUGAAGGAAGUGUUGAUAUUCACCCCUGAAGAGGGUUCAUCAAGCGAGCUGGACAAAAAAAUGGCUGAUUCUAAUGUGAGGAGUGAUCUGAGUAAAGGCAUCAAGAAGAUAAUGGUGGUCUUUCCUAACAUCGAACACAAGUACCAUACAAGUGGAGAGAACGCUGGGCUGUUGCAACGUAUCGACAGUGAUGUUGCCUCAAAAAUUAAAGAACUCGUGGUGGAAGAGGACGUUGCAAAUGUUGAAGAAAUGCAACGCCAUCUGACCUCAUUUGUUAUGAAGAAUGUAACACCUGCUCCAUCAAGAACUAAUAGGAGAUUUGCCCCUACACAAAAAGUGAUCAGAUAUCACAUGAAUAAGGCAGCAAAGAAGGGUUGUGAUAGCAAUUAUGGCCAACACAGCUUAGUUCAGCUAGUGAGUGUGCUUAGUGUGUAACUAACAGUUACUUCAAUACAGAUAUAUAUAUUUAUCACAUGCCAUACCCUGCUUCCCCAUGUAAUAUAACCAUUACGAAUAUUUUUAUCUUACACAUGUGUAAUAUACUUUUUAAGGAUUUUCAUUGGCUUAUUUUCGUUUGAUUGACCAAUCGCAUUUUGUUAUUUUGCUGAAAUAGCAUUGCAAUGUCAAAUGUCUUAUAUAUUUAAUGUUGUGCCUUUCUUUUAUUAAUACGCUCUUCUUUUCUAUAUUUUGUAAUAUGUCCGCAAAACAAAAGCGUUCAUAUUUGCGUCCCUUUAUUGCUUGUUUAUAUUUUUUCUUGAUUAAAAAUCGAUGCAUUUUUUAGCAUUUGCGUAUAACCAUAGUUUAUUCGAUGUUUUGGUAUGAUUUUCUUGAAACGAGAUGGUUUGCCACAGACGUGCAUGGCAGAAAUGUAUAGAUUGUGUGUAAACCAUUUCACCAUUUCACCCAUUUCACCUUGAAUUGGUAAAUAUUAAAGAUGAAGUUCGUAUAAAAAAUGCGUUGUUAAAAUGUCAACUUUAUCUGCAUUUUAGGAGACGUAUGUAUUUUUAAUAAUGGUAUGAUUGAUUGAGUGUUCCAACCUGUAAUUAAUGAGUUUUCAUGAUGUUAACUGUGUAUAGUUGUGAAAUUAACCAUAUUCGUCGUUAUCACAUUAGUUAUGGCGACACUCUUCAAAGAUGAUCUUACAAUACUUAAAGUUGUAAUUAUUUUUUAUUUGUAACCUUUUAAGUCUAGUCCGGGUUUUCGCAACAAAUAAAUUUAACCAAACAUAGGACUGCACUCAACAGCACUUAUGUGGCCAAGGAUGGUUAAAUCUCAUAGAUGUGUGUUCAUAUUGAAAUACCAUAUAAAGUUGUAUAUAUUUAUGUAUGCAUGCAUGUAUGUAAUGAUAUACAUAUUAGAUAUAUUUAGUCUUAUACCCUAACAAUUGAUCCAUAUGCAUCACGCACAUUAACCCAUUGAACAUUUACCAAUAAAGUGUACUCCUUUUUAUCAUGUUAAUGUCAUUAAUUAAACAACUGAAAAAUCAGUAUCAAUAUGUUCGUCCCCAUACUGCAAAUUCUUCUUAUGGUAUGUCUGGUGAGUAAAUUAGUAAAUUUUAGAUACGCAGUUGCAAUAUUACAUGAAAUCAUGUAUUCCCUUCAUAAACAUACCAUGUUAACCAGUUCAAAACAAUAUCGUCCAACCUUUAUCUUCUACCAUCACAUAUAAAUUGUAUAAUCCAUAUAUAAUGUAAGCUAUGAGCUUGUAUAAGCUAUGUUGCUGAAUAAAUGUUGUUCUUGUUCUAAG